RNAcentral lists this long non-coding RNA (1628 nucleotides) under Gallus gallus (chicken). Its description in RNAcentral is "lncRNA (ENSGALG00010017916.1)". Lineage: Eukaryota; Metazoa; Chordata; Aves; Galliformes; Phasianidae. The record is from RNAcentral.
AUUUUCAAGCCAUUGUGAACCAGCCACGGUAGAAAGGAGAACGAAGACACCUUCAAGCCCUGUUCACUGACAUACUGCACAUGCAUUUGUGGUAUACUGAACUUCAAUCCUGUCUUAACGCCAGCAUGGAAGUGUGUCAGUCACCAAAUGAAGAGCAAAACAAGUUUAUGGAGAGUCCAUCUGAAUAGGCUGCAUGUUAUUUUAACCAGACAGCUCAGCGAAACCGGCUGAAGUCUGAGAGCUGAAGAGCAGUCUGUGCAGGGCUGAGGAUGCUGCCUGGGGCCAGCAAGAUGCUUUGAGGUGAAUUGGAAAUACAGCUAUGGUUUUGGAGAGGACCCAUUUGAAUGGCAGUAGUUUGUCUGCAGGAAGGAAACGGGCCUGGCUUUGGAAAAAGGAAUUUUCUCUUUGAUAAUCUGAGAACUGAAGAGUUGACUUGGUGCCAUCAGCAGCUCCUUGGAGGCAAAGGAAGGCUUCCAUCUAUGGAAAAUUGCAGUGCACUAGCACAUGGUCUCUGGGGAUCAAGCCUGAACACAGUCAUUUUCCUUCACUUUUGCACGCAAAAUCUCUUACUGUAACCACAUGUGGACAUCAUGCUGCUUUGUUCUGUCCUGCUCCAGCCAGCCGAGUCCUUUCCUGAUCUGUGUCACAGAGCCUUGCGCCUCUCUACAAAGGAGAUUCAGUAUCUCAUAUCCUUUUUCAUAUUUUCCCUGUCUUUUUUUUUUCUUUUUUUCUGCCCAUAUCACAAAGAACCAUCACAUCUGAGCUUCAGAUGGAGUGGCCAAGCAGAAGUGCUACUUGAUGACCUCCUUGUUGACAGCUGUUCUUACUGCCCUGAGCGCCUCUCACCAGCACCUGGUGCUUCCCAGGCUCGCGGUAUGGCUGAUCACUGGGCUCAGAGCACAGCUGCCUUUACAAACCGUUUUCAACAAGAAUGCUCCAUGGGGAAGCAGCAGUAUUGCAAUCGGAGCUGCUGUGCAACCCUAGAGCAGCUGAGAGGGCACCACGGCCUUCCCCAGAGGUCCUGGAGCCUCGAUGAGCACAAAUACCCCAUGUACAAUGGUUUUCUCUGUGCAACGUGUGCUGUGGACCAAUGAGACUCAUAUGGGUCAGUCUGCCUCAGUCUCACCCUACCUGUGCACCCAUACUGCGCAUUGGGCUGUUGUUGAUCUGGAACCUACUCUGGGUGACUGGAGAUUGUUCCUCUGUGUGUCAUCUGCUGCUUUCCAGAAACUCUCUAGCCAUUGUCACGAUGUAUUACUGCUGAAUUGAUCUCAAAUUCAGGAGAUUUAAUGUCUCCAAAUUGGUGUAGAUGUACUUUUGUAAGUUUGUGAUGUUGAUAUACAGCACUGCUUUCCUUUUAUUGUUGCUGUUUCCCCAAGGAAGCUCCCUAGGGUAGGGAAAACGGUUCAAGGGCAUGGUAGGUAGCAAGGGCAUCCUUUGAAUGCACUUACUUUGACCUCCCAUGGCACUUCAUCACCCCUGUCUCAAUCUAUGCAACACUACUGAUGUGUUAACAUGCAACUCCUUUACAUGCAGAUCUUCCACGUUCAGGGAAAAAAAGUAAACCAUUAACCAGAAGACCCCUAACAUAAUUGAUAAAAUAAAGGAUGGCUGUUAUAUUAUUCAAA